CCUACGGGAGGCUGCAGUGAGGAAUAUUGGUCAAUGGACGAGAGUCUGAACCAGCCAAGUAGCGUGAAGGAUGACUGCCCUAUGGGUUGUAAACUUCUUUUAUAUGGGAAUAAAACGUUCCACGUGUGGGAUUUUGUAUGUACCAUAUGAAUAAGGAUCGGCUAACUCCGUGCCAGCAGCCGCGGUAAUACGGAGGAUCCGAGCGUUAUCCGGAGUUAUUGGGUUUAAAGGGAGCGUAGGUGGAUUGUUAAGUCAGUUGUGAAAGUUUGCGGCUCAACCGUAAAAUUGCAGUUGAAACUGGCAGUCUUGAGUACAGUAGAGGUGGGCGGAAUUCGUGGUGUAGCGGUGAAAUGCUUAGAUAUCACGAAGAACUCUGAUUGCGAAGGCAGUUCACUGGACUGCAACUGACACUGAGGCUCGAAAGUGUGGGUAUCAAACAGGAUUAGAUACCCUUGUAGUC
RNAcentral lists this ribosomal RNA (460 nucleotides) under uncultured bacterium. RNAcentral describes it as "partial 16S ribosomal RNA". It matches the Rfam family "Bacterial small subunit ribosomal RNA", at positions 338 to 795 of the family's 1533-position model. The record is from RNAcentral.